This 23-nucleotide microRNA is filed under the name Callithrix jacchus (white-tufted-ear marmoset). Its description in RNAcentral is "cja-miR-9930". The record is from miRBase by way of RNAcentral. Lineage: Eukaryota; Metazoa; Chordata; Mammalia; Primates; Cebidae.
AGUAUUUUAACCCUAUGGGCUGU